This 253-nucleotide ribosomal RNA is filed under the name uncultured bacterium. Its description in RNAcentral is "partial 16S ribosomal RNA". It matches the Rfam family "Bacterial small subunit ribosomal RNA", at positions 524 to 776 of the family's 1533-position model. The record is from RNAcentral.
UACGAAGGGGGCUAGCGUUGUUCGGAAUUACUGGGCGUAAAGGGCGCGUAGGCGGUACUUCAAGUCAGGCGUGAAAGCCCCGGGCUCAACCUGGGAACCGCGCUUGAGACUGGAGAACUAGAGUUCGGGAGAGGAUGGUGGAAUUCCCAGUGUAGAGGUGAAAUUCGUAGAUAUUGGGAAGAACACCGCUGGCGAAGGCAGCCAUCUGGACCGACACUGACGCUGAGGCGCGAAAGCGUGGGGAGCAAACAGG